RNAcentral lists this long non-coding RNA (756 nucleotides) under Mus musculus (house mouse). RNAcentral's name for it is "RIKEN cDNA A330093E20 gene". Lineage: Eukaryota; Metazoa; Chordata; Mammalia; Rodentia; Muridae. The record is from RNAcentral.
AAGUACAUCUCAUUGCAUUGCUAACUGGUGGUAGAGCAGAGGUGGUACCUCUAGUCUCUGAAGAAAUCUGUGCCAUCCAGUUUCCUUCAGUCAUCCCAAAGCUAAGGAAUUUGCAUCACGGGCCAUAGCAGUUGGCUGAAACUCUCAUCUGAUGGUCUUUGAAGACUUAAUUUAUAGAAUCUGACCUUCACAUGAGUCCUGUGAAGAAAGAAAUUGUAAAGGAAUGCAAGGAUGAUUGAAUGAGCCCGCCAUCUUCCUUCUGAGCCCAGCAGAGGCUCCAGAGUGCUCUCCACACUGCAGGACCUCUGGAUCACCUCGGGAUCACAGCUACUCUCUGAUGAAGUUGGUGGCGCUGUGGAGGAGGACCGCCGCCUCCUGGACGAGGACCGGGAGCGCUCAGCAUUGUAGGAGACAUGCUUGUCGUAGUUCUCCAUCUGUGUCUCAAUGAAGUCCCUUUGCUGCUGUCUGAUGGUCUGGCUGAUUAGCCCAGGGAGGGCAUGAAUGCUACCAAUCAAAGUCUCUAGUUUUGUUUCCAGGGUGACGAUCCUUUUCUCAAAGUCUUCACUCCUUUCAUUCAAGUCGGAAAUCAUGUCAUACAUGAUAUUCUGGGUCUGGAAAACAAGAAUGAGAAGAUAGAAACAGAGAAGGAAGAGGCUUAGUGACUUUUGCCUCAGAAGCGAACUGUCAACUCUUCAAGCUUCAGCACUGGCCUCUUGACAGGUGUGUCAGCUAACAGAAGAGUUUAGGUCACAAAGC